Podarcis muralis (Common wall lizard) is the source of this 245-nucleotide non-coding RNA. The record is from RefSeq and is a predicted model, not a curated record. Lineage: Eukaryota; Metazoa; Chordata; Lepidosauria; Squamata; Lacertidae.
CUGACUUGUCCGCAUCCAGAGAGGAGGCCUGGAAUAUGCUGUCCAAAGUGCCCCGAUUGCACUCAGGACAACCGAGUGGUGCUGGACGGAGAGGAGCUGCCUAACCCGCUGAACCCCUGCCAGGCGUGCCUGUGCACUGCUGGAGAACUGCGCUGCAAGGAGCGUCAGUGCCCGGGCGCCCUAUGCGCUCACCCCUUGCCCGGAUCCUGCUGCCAGAACAACUGCAACGGCUGCAACUACGCCGG